CUGAGAUGACACCACUCCGUCAUCUCCCUCAUGUUGGCCACCGAAUGGACCUACUUCAUCCUGUGUUGGCCAUCGUGUUUCUCCCUCCCCCCUACAGCAAUAAUUAUACGGACAUUUUCAUGUUCAGAUGGACGAGGAACGAAAACAUGGCCAUCAACAUAAAUAAUGGCAUAUACAAAUUUGCACCAUAAAUGUGCGACACAAGGCUGUUGCGGAGACGCCGCGGGACAAAUAUAUAUAUAUAUAUAUGUUUAUACGUAUGUAUGUUAUGGAAUGGUAUGUUAAGGUUAAAUGUGAAUCGCUUAAUAUUACCUUAGCCUGCCUAAAGAGCUCUCUGGGUGGUUUAAGGGGCGAUGUAAGGGUAGAGUAUAUGUAUAUAUUUAUAAAUGUUUAUAUAUAUAUAUAUGUUUAUCUGUCAAUCUAUGUGUGCUUGUGACUGUAAUUAGAUCUCAUUAUAUACUUAAAUAUAUAUAAAUAUCUGUUAAAUAUUAA
Drosophila innubila is the source of this 492-nucleotide long non-coding RNA. RefSeq lists it as uncharacterized. The record is from RefSeq and is a predicted model, not a curated record. The transcript has 2 exons. Lineage: Eukaryota; Metazoa; Arthropoda; Insecta; Diptera; Drosophilidae.